AAAGCCUUUUGCACGGCUGGAGGUUUUGGUGAAGUAACAGCAUCCACAAGGUCUGUAAGACAGUUCGGCAAGAAGGCAACGGAGUGACAAUCAUCUCCACCAUGUUCAGCUCAUAGAAACACUCCAGUAACAGAUGCCACAAGUUGCCUUGACAUUUUCCCAUACAGAAAAUGAUAAAUUCCAGAAUGGAAACUGCGGCGUUUGGUGAAAUAAUGGAGCUUCUGUUUCUCCGCUGCUGUCAGAAAUGGAAAUUCAGCACAAUCUUUUCAUCAGCUUGAAAUGCCACAUCAGAUUAAAAGCCCUGAUGCCAAGUGGAGGGCAUCUGAUACAUUGCCUUGAGCUGUGCUUCUUAAUGCUUUUCAGUCCACCACUUUGUAAAAGCACCUCCACCUUCGUGUUACUCCCCUCAUUAGAGCAGUGCAAACGUGAACGAAUUAACAGAGGUUAAGAUCUUCUGGAAAUAGCUUUGCUUGAGCAAUCUCAAGUCUGCUAUAGGGCUGCCAGGGCAAAAGGGUCACCUCAAGGAGGGAAGCACUCCAGCAGGGAUGUAAACUGGAACUCAUUGGUGCAUGCAGCAUGCUCCAUGGCCACAUAAAUCAGACAUCGAGACCUCUGUAUGGGAGAGCGAGCAGUGUUCAGUUUGGUUCCUACUACCCCUGGUUGCCGGAGUUGGGUAUUUGAAUGGGGGAGAGUGGUCAUACCAGAUCCAUUUGGUGCACCAGCCAGGCUAAUUAACACUCCAUGAGCUGUAGAAGCAGCCAGGAAGCACCAGAGAGCAGUGCAUAUGAAUCACUGAUCUCUUGAUCUUAGACUUCUCAAAAGUUGCGACAAUGAAGCUGGGUGUGAGUAACAUGCCCAUUGUGGCCAAUUGUUGUCCAAGGAAGCCACUGCCAUCCUGCUUAGACACCAUCUCAUUAUGAAAUCUUUACAUUUCACACACACGUGGAGUGCAUGCUAUGAAGUGCUGUCAUAAUGAAAUAAUGGAGAAUCAAAUGGAAAAAUGUGUGUUUGAGCACUGAAAGCUAGACUUGUAGACCACAGAACAGACUUCACAAGUAGAGGUCAAGGUGGCACCAAUUAGGACAAGAUUAUAUUUAAUGGAGAGUCACCUGGAUUGAAUUAAGCGUAUUUUCUUGGACAUAGCAGGCUGGAAUCAGGAUAAACAAACUGCUCUAGAAUUCCUAGGUGACCUUCCAAUAAUUAUGACCAAAUUUGAGUUUCUAGUCUUCUCAGGCCCCAAAUUAUCUUUUAUAUAAGAAUGCACAUUGCUACUCGGGAGGUCUGUUUGUUGUGAUGAACAGAGCAUAAAACAAAUCUCUCACACACAGUACUGCAGGUGGAGGCUGCAAAGCAGUUUCUCCAACCAAAAGAGCUAAUGGGCCUCCAGUGUAAAACACAUUUUUGUAACUCUUUUUCUUCGGACUUUCUUCUUUGUUGUGAGAAAUGCAAUGCCAAAAGAACUUAACUGCUCUGUUUUCCAGUGCAUAAACUGCUGAUAAGUCACUGGUGUUGUAGUUAAGCAUACAUGUCCACCAGAGUAAAAGCUCAUGCUACAAUUAAGCGCUGGGGCCACUGCUUUUAUUUUUGUCACAAAUUCUAUUGUUGUAUAUCUGAAAUAUGAAACUGUACCUCUUCAUGGGAAUACAGAAUAAACCGUGAUGCAGAUACUG
Molecule: long non-coding RNA, 1670 nt
Organism: Gallus gallus (chicken)
Lineage: Eukaryota; Metazoa; Chordata; Aves; Galliformes; Phasianidae
Source: Ensembl